GGCCGCCUGGCAAAAUGGCAUGGCGUCUGACUAUAACUUGCUUAUGUAAUUUCGUAAUCAGGAGAUUUCAGGUUCAACCUCUGAGGUGGUCA
This is a non-coding RNA of Mycena leptocephala, 92 nucleotides long. Lineage: Eukaryota; Fungi; Basidiomycota; Agaricomycetes; Agaricales; Mycenaceae. The record is from the annotation of a GenBank genome assembly.